ACGGAGGGUGCGAGUGUUAUUCGGAAUCACUGGGCGUAAAGAGCACGUAGGAGGAUCGGUAAGUCAGAUGUGAAAUCACGGAGCUCAACUCCGGAACUGCAUUUGAUACUGCCAGUCUUGAGUGAGGUAGAGGGGGGUGGAAUUCACGGUGUAGAGGUGAUAUUCUUAGAUAUCGGAAGGAACACCAGAGGGGAGGGCAACCCCCUGAGCCUGUACUGGCGCUGAGGUGCGGAAUCGUGGGGAGCAAACAG
This 251-nucleotide ribosomal RNA is filed under the name uncultured prokaryote. Its description in RNAcentral is "partial 16S rRNA". It matches the Rfam family "Bacterial small subunit ribosomal RNA", at positions 525 to 775 of the family's 1533-position model. The record is from RNAcentral.